Candidatus Muproteobacteria bacterium RBG_16_65_31 is the source of this 188-nucleotide non-coding RNA. Lineage: Bacteria; Pseudomonadati; Pseudomonadota; Candidatus Muproteobacteria. The record is from Rfam.
CGCCCCCUGCGGUGCGCGUGUACCGUUCCAGAUAUCCUUUGAACCUAUAGUACAUGUCUCGGGAGCCGGUAUAGCAGAUGCUGUUGUGCAAGUCCGCCUCGUAGCGGAAAGCCUGAUGCAUCUCUGAGGCGCCCACUUGAACCGGACGGUUCAAGGCGAUGGAGCGGCACGGCAUUCGCGGAGGGCGC